AGAGUGAACGCUGGCGGCAGGCCUAACACAUGCAAGUCGAACGGCAGCACAGAGGAGCUUGCUCCUUGGGUGGCGAGUGGCGGACGGGUGAGGAAUACGUCGGAAUCUGCCUAUUUGGUGGGGGAUAACGUAGGGAAACUUACGCUAAUACCGCAUACGACCUACGGGUGAAAGCGGAGGACCUUCGGGCUUCGCGCAGAUAGAUGAGCCGACGUCGGAUUAGCUAGUUGGCGGGGUAAAGCCCACCAAGGCGACGAUCCGUAGCUGGUCUGAGAGGAUGAUCAGCCACACUGGAACUGAGACACGGUCCAGACUCCGUACGGGAGGCAGCAGGUGGGAAUAUUGGACAAGUGGGACGCAAGCCUGAAUCCAGCCAGUCGCCGCGUGGUGUAGAAGGUAGGUCCGUUACGGGUUAGUAAACGUC
This 424-nucleotide ribosomal RNA is filed under the name uncultured soil bacterium. RNAcentral's name for it is "bacterial SSU rRNA". It matches the Rfam family "Bacterial small subunit ribosomal RNA", at positions 26 to 433 of the family's 1533-position model. The record is from RNAcentral.